This 402-nucleotide ribosomal RNA is filed under the name rape rhizosphere bacterium cse014. RNAcentral's name for it is "bacterial SSU rRNA". It matches the Rfam family "Bacterial small subunit ribosomal RNA", at positions 27 to 477 of the family's 1533-position model. The record is from RNAcentral.
GAACGAACGCUGGCGGCAGGCUUAACACAUGCAAGUCGAANGCCCCGCAAGGGGAGUGGCAGACGGGUGAGUAACGCGUGGGAAUCUACCGUGCCCUGCGGAAUAGCUCCGGGAAACUGGAAUUAAUUCCGCAUACGCCCUACGGGGGAAAGAUUUAUCGGGGUAUGAUGAGCCCGCGUUGGAUUAGCUAGUUGGUGGGGUAAAGGCCUACCAAGGCGACGAUCCAUAGCUGGUCUGAGAGGAUGAUCAGCAACAUUGGGACUGAGACACGGCCCAAACUCCUACGGGAGGCAGCAGUGGGGAAUAUUGGACAAUGGGCGCAAGCCUGAUCCAGCCAUGCCGCGUGAGUGAUGAAGGCCUUAGGGUUGUAAAGNUCUUUCACCGGAGAAGAUAAUGACGGUA